Molecule: ribosomal RNA, 516 nt
Filed under: uncultured bacterium
Lineage: Bacteria
Description: bacterial SSU rRNA
Rfam family: Bacterial small subunit ribosomal RNA
Source: RNAcentral
AGAGUUUGAUCCUGGCUCAGAUUGAACGCUGGCGGUAUGCUUUACACAUGCAAGUCGAACGGAUUUGGGGGCUUGCUCCCAAGUUAGUGGCGAACGGGUGAGUAAUAUAUCGGAACAUAUCCGGAAGUGGGGGAUAACGUAGCGAAAGUUACGCUAAUACCGCAUACGACCUACGGGUGAAAGCAGGGGACCGCAAGGCCUUGCGUCGAUGGAGCGGCCGAUGUCGGAUUAGCUAGUUGGUGAGGUAAAGGCUCACCAAGGCGACGAUCCGUAGCUGGUCUGAGAGGACGACCAGCCACACUGGGACUGAGACACGGCCCAGACUCCUACGGGAGGCAGCAGUGGGGAAUCUUGGACAAUGGGGGCAACCCUGAUCCAGCAAUGCCGCGUGUGGGAAGAAGGCCUUCGGGUUGUAAACCACUUUUGGCAGGGAAGAAAUAGCCUGUGCGAAUACCACGGGUUGAUGACGGUACCUGCAGAAUAAGCACCGGCUAACUACGUGCCAGCCGCCGCGGU